GGGGGGGGCAAGCGUUGUUCGGAAUUACUGGGCGUAAAGGGCUCGUAGGUGHGCCAACUAAGUCAGACGUGAAAUCCCUCGGCUUAACCUGGGAACUGCGUCUGAUACUGGAUGGCUUGAGAUUGGGAGAGGGAUGCGGAAUUCCAGGUGUAGCGGUGAAAUGCGUAGAUAUCUGGAGGAACACCGGUGGCGAAGGCGGCAUCCUGGACCAACACUGACACUGAGGAGCGAAAGCCAGGGGAGCAAACGGGAUUAGAUACCCCGGUAGUCCUGGCCCUAAACGAUGAAUGCUUGGUGUGACGGGUAUCGAUCCCUGUCGUGCCGAAGCUAACGCAUUAAGCAUUCCGCCUGGGGAGUACGGUCGCAAGGCUG
This 372-nucleotide ribosomal RNA is filed under the name uncultured bacterium. Its description in RNAcentral is "bacterial SSU rRNA". It matches the Rfam family "Bacterial small subunit ribosomal RNA", at positions 527 to 896 of the family's 1533-position model. The record is from RNAcentral.